Molecule: ribosomal RNA, 416 nt
Filed under: Dickeya sp.
Lineage: Bacteria; Pseudomonadati; Pseudomonadota; Gammaproteobacteria; Enterobacterales; Pectobacteriaceae
Description: partial 16S ribosomal RNA
Rfam family: Bacterial small subunit ribosomal RNA
Source: RNAcentral
GUCGAGCGGCAGCGGGGGGAAGCUUGCUUCCCCGCCGGCGAGCGGNGGACGGGUGAGUAAUGUCUGGGGAUCUGCCUGAUGGAGGGGGAUAACUACUGGAAACGGUAGCUAAUACCGNAUAACGUCGCANGACCAANGUGGGGGANCUUCGGGCCUCNCNCCNUCGGAUGAACCCAGAUGGGAUUAGCUAGUAGGUGAGGUAACGGCUCACCUAGGCGACGAUCCCUAGCUGGUCUGAGAGGAUGACCAGCCACACUGGAACUGAGACACGGUCCANACUCCUACGGGAGGCAGCAGUGGGGAAUAUUGCACANUGGGGGAAACCCUGAUGCANCCAUGCCGCGUGUGUGAANAAGGCCUUCGGGUUGUAAAGCNNUUUCNGCGGGGAGGAAGGGGAUAAGGUUAAUAACCUUGUU